UAAAGGAGAAGAAUCCAGACCAUCAGCUAAGGUCCCCAAAUAAACACUAAGUUGAACUAACGAAGUCAGAUUGCUAAGACAGCUAGGAUGUUGGCUUGGAAGCAGCCAUUCAUUUAAAGAGUGCGUAACAGCUCACUAGUCGAGGAGUUUGGCGUGGAUAAUAAUCGGGCAUAAGUGUUUUACCGAAGCUAUGGGAUACGUAAGUAUCGGUAGGGGAGCAUUCCACUCAGCGUUGAAGGCGAAGCGUGAGCUUACUGGAGCGUGUGGAAAAGCAAAUGUAGGUAUAAGUAACGAUAAAGGGGGUGAGAAACCCCCUCGCCGCAAGACUAAGGUUUCCUGAUCAACGCUAAUCGGAUCAGGGUUAGUCGGGUCCUAAGGCUCAGCCGAACGGUGAGGCCGAUGGCAGAACAGGUUAAUAUUCCUGUACUACCUAUAGGAGUGAUGUGGAGACGGAGGAGUGACAACGCCGCGGACUGACGGAAUAGUCCGUUAAAGGGUGUAGAUGUUGAUUAUCCCAGGCAAAUCCGGGAUAAGAGUCGAACCUGA
This 546-nucleotide ribosomal RNA is filed under the name Bacteroides fragilis. RNAcentral describes it as "partial 23S ribosomal RNA". It matches the Rfam family "Bacterial large subunit ribosomal RNA", at positions 1013 to 1566 of the family's 2925-position model. Lineage: Bacteria; Pseudomonadati; Bacteroidota; Bacteroidia; Bacteroidales; Bacteroidaceae. The record is from RNAcentral.